AGUGAACGCUGGCGGUAGGCCUAACACAUGCAAGUCGAACGGCAGCACAGUAAGAGCUUGCUCUUACGGGUGGCGAGUGGCGGACGGGUGAGGAAUACAUCGGAAUCUACUUUUUCGUGGGGGAUAACGUAGGGAAACUUACGCUAAUACCGCAUACGACCUACGGGUGAAAGCAGGGGAUCUUCGGACCUUGCGCGAUUGAAUGAGCCGAUGUCGGAUUAGCUAGUUGGCGGGGUAAAGGCCCACCAAGGCGACGAUCCGUAGCUGGUCUGAGAGGAUGAUCAGCCACACGGGAGCUGAGACACGGUCCAAGCUCCUACGGGAGGCAGCAGUGGGGAAUAUUGGACAAUGGGCGCAAGCCUGAUCCAGCCAGACCGCGUGUGUGAAGAAGGCCUUCGGGUUGUAAAGCCCUUUUGUUGGGAAAGAAAAGCAGCAGGUUAAUACCCCGCUGUUCUGACGGUACCCAAAGAAUAAGCACCGGCUAACUUCGUG
RNAcentral lists this ribosomal RNA (492 nucleotides) under uncultured bacterium. Its description in RNAcentral is "partial 16S ribosomal RNA". It matches the Rfam family "Bacterial small subunit ribosomal RNA", at positions 29 to 507 of the family's 1533-position model. The record is from RNAcentral.